RNAcentral lists this ribosomal RNA (253 nucleotides) under uncultured bacterium. RNAcentral's name for it is "partial 16S ribosomal RNA". It matches the Rfam family "Bacterial small subunit ribosomal RNA", at positions 524 to 776 of the family's 1533-position model. The record is from RNAcentral.
GACGUAGGAGGCGAGCGUUGUCCGGAUUCAUUGGGCGUAAAGAGCACGCAGGCGGUUUGGCAAGUCGGAUGUGAAAACCCGAAGCUCAACUUCGGGCCUGCAGUGGAUACGGGCAGACUAGAGGUAGGUAGGGGAGAAUGGAAUUCCCGGUGUAGCGGUGAAAUGCGCAGAUAUCGGGAGGAACACCGGUGGCGAAGGCGGUUCUCUGGGCCUUACCUGACACUGAGGAGCGAAAGCGUGGGGAGCGAACAGG